CCUGUUUCCAAUCCGAAAAACCCCGUAAUCCAUCACACCUGAGCCGUGCUGUUGAAGGGCUGAUUAGGUGAGUCUCGGGGCUGGAGUUGAAGCUGGAUUUCUGAUCCAUCAAUUCAGCGCGUUUUGACUGAGAUAACCGGCCGAGAGGAUGACAGCUCGGGUGUGCUGCUCGUUAACUGCUGUUUUGUUGUGUCUCUCUGUAUACUUGAGCACAAUAGACGCCAAAGGACGUGUCACAAUAAAAGGAAUUGUUCGUUUGGGUAAAGAGUGGUUACCAGAAAAGCCAGGAGUGUGUGUAAGCAACAACCUUUGAGUAGGAAUUUGGUUCUAUAUUAUAGAUCAGUGGUUGAGAUGUGU
Cyprinus carpio (common carp) is the source of this 357-nucleotide long non-coding RNA. RefSeq lists it as uncharacterized. Lineage: Eukaryota; Metazoa; Chordata; Actinopteri; Cypriniformes; Cyprinidae. The record is from RefSeq and is a predicted model, not a curated record. The transcript has 3 exons.